This is a long non-coding RNA of Spea bombifrons (plains spadefoot toad), 502 nucleotides long. RefSeq lists it as uncharacterized. The record is from RefSeq and is a predicted model, not a curated record. The transcript has 2 exons. Lineage: Eukaryota; Metazoa; Chordata; Amphibia; Anura; Pelobatidae.
GCUUUUAACCCUUAGCCAGAGACGAGGCCAAUGCGUUGCGCUGCCCUCCCAUCUUGCACUCAAAUUGUUAAACUGCUUGCUUUGGGUAACAUAAUUGUUAUCAAUCCUUUCCGUAAUUAGAAAUAUAAGAUGGAGAUCCUCUAAGGAAGCAUUAACCGUUGGAUCAUGUCAGUAUCAGCCUCUGGAUCCAUAAAUAAAAGCACUUCAUUUAUCUCUCGUUCCUAUCCAGCACGAGAGAGAGAGAGAGAACUCUAGAAAUAAGACUUUGAAUCUGCUUGUCUGGUUGGUGAGCUCAGCGGUCUCUUCCUUACAUAGGAGCUGCGAGAUUGAGUGAGAUCAUAACACAAUAACUCAUGAAUGGGAAAGACUCAUGUAACAGUGUACAAGAUUUAUAGCCUACGACACUUUAUAUCUCGCAUAACAGUUUUCCAGAUUCUUUCAUUGCUGUUGCAUUGCCACAAAUAGAUUUUUUUUAUUGAUUUAUUUUUUUUCUUUCAGAAAA